RNAcentral lists this ribosomal RNA (254 nucleotides) under uncultured bacterium. RNAcentral describes it as "partial 16S ribosomal RNA". It matches the Rfam family "Bacterial small subunit ribosomal RNA", at positions 524 to 776 of the family's 1533-position model. The record is from RNAcentral.
UACGUAGGGUGCGAGCGUUGUCCGGAAUUACUGGGCGUAAAGAGCUCGUAGGUGGUUUGUCGCGUUGUUCGUGAAAACUCACAGCUUAACUGUGGGCGUGCGGGCGAUACGGGCAGACUGGAGUACUGCAGGGGAGACUGGAAUUCCUGGUGUAGCGGUGGAAUGCGCAGAUAUCAGGAGGAACACCGGUGGCGAAGGCGGGUCUCUGGGCCGAUGACUGACGCUGAGGAGCGAAAGCGUGGGGAGCGAACAGG